UUAAGUUCAGCGGGUAUUCCUACCUGAUCCGAGGUCAACCUUGUGUAAAAUAAUGGUUUUACGGCAGGAAGCCCGCCGGGCCCCAGUGCGAGAUGUAUUACUACGCAAAGGAGGCUCCGUCGAGUCCGCCACUGAUUCAGGGCCUACGACGUAGGGCCCCAACACCAAGCAGUGCUUGAGGGUUGAAAUGACGCUCGAAC
This 200-nucleotide unclassified non-coding RNA is filed under the name Reticulascus sp. Its description in RNAcentral is "partial internal transcribed spacer 2". Lineage: Eukaryota; Fungi; Ascomycota; Sordariomycetes; Glomerellales; Reticulascaceae. The record is from RNAcentral.